This 1426-nucleotide ribosomal RNA is filed under the name Klebsiella sp. XJ0502-Aks-C1. RNAcentral's name for it is "bacterial SSU rRNA". It matches the Rfam family "Bacterial small subunit ribosomal RNA". Lineage: Bacteria; Pseudomonadati; Pseudomonadota; Gammaproteobacteria; Enterobacterales; Enterobacteriaceae. The record is from RNAcentral.
CAGCUACACAUGCAGUCGAGCGGUAGCACAGAGAGCUUGCUCUCGGGUGACGAGCGGCGGACGGGUGAGUAAUGUCUGGGAAACUGCCUGAUGGAGGGGGAUAACUACUGGAAACGGUAGCUAAUACCGCAUAACGUCGCAAGACCAAAGUGGGGGACCUUCGGGCCUCAUGCCAUCAGAUGUGCCCAGAUGGGAUUAGCUAGUAGGUGGGGUAACGGCUCACCUAGGCGACGAUCCCUAGCUGGUCUGAGAGGAUGACCAGCCACACUGGAACUGAGACACGGUCCAGACUCCUACGGGAGGCAGCAGUGGGGAAUAUUGCACAAUGGGCGCAAGCCUGAUGCAGCCAUGCCGCGUGUGUGAAGAAGGCCUUCGGGUUGUAAAGCACUUUCAGCGGGGAGGAAGGCGUUGAGGUUAAUAACCUUGUCGAUUGACGUUACCCGCAGAAGAAGCACCGGCUAACUCCGUGCCAGCAGCCGCGGUAAUACGGAGGGUGCAAGCGUUAAUCGGAAUUACUGGGCGUAAAGCGCACGCAGGCGGUCUGUCAAGUCGGAUGUGAAAUCCCCGGGCUCAACCUGGGAACUGCAUUCGAAACUGGCAGGCUAGAGUCUUGUAGAGGGGGGUAGAAUUCCAGGUGUAGCGGUGAAAUGCGUAGAGAUCUGGAGGAAUACCGGUGGCGAAGGCGGCCCCCUGGACAAAGACUGACGCUCAGGUGCGAAAGCGUGGGGAGCAAACAGGAUUAGAUACCCUGGUAGUCCACGCCGUAAACGAUGUCGAUUUGGAGGUUGUGCCCUUGAGGCGUGGCUUCCGGAGCUAACGCGUUAAAUCGACCGCCUGGGGAGUACGGCCGCAAGGUUAAAACUCAAAUGAAUUGACGGGGGCCCGCACAAGCGGUGGAGCAUGUGGUUUAAUUCGAUGCAACGCGAAGAACCUUACCUGGUCUUGACAUCCACAGAACUUUCCAGAGAUGGAUUGGUGCCUUCGGGAACUGUGAGACAGGUGCUGCAUGGCUGUCGUCAGCUCGUGUUGUGAAAUGUUGGGUUAAGUCCCGCAACGAGCGCAACCCUUAUCCUUUGUUGCCAGCGGUCCGGCCGGGAACUCAAAGGAGACUGCCAGUGAUAAACUGGAGGAAGGUGGGGAUGACGUCAAGUCAUCAUGGCCCUUACGACCAGGGCUACACACGUGCUACAAUGGCAUAUACAAAGAGAAGCGACCUCGCGAGAGCAAGCGGACCUCAUAAAGUAUGUCGUAGUCCGGAUUGGAGUCUGCAACUCGACUCCAUGAAGUCGGAAUCGCUAGUAAUCGUAGAUCAGAAUGCUACGGUGAAUACGUUCCCGGGCCUUGUACACACCGCCCGUCACACCAUGGGAGUGGGUUGCAAAAGAAGUAGGUAGCUUAACCUUCGGGAGGGCGCUACCACUUGGAU